Molecule: ribosomal RNA, 433 nt
Filed under: uncultured bacterium
Lineage: Bacteria
Description: partial 16S ribosomal RNA
Rfam family: Bacterial small subunit ribosomal RNA
Source: RNAcentral
AACGAGCGCUGGCGGCAUGCCUAACACAUGCAAGUCGAACGAGACCUUCGGGUCUAGUGGCGCACGGGUGCGUAACGCGUGGGAACCUGCCCUUAGGUUCGGAAUAACUCCCCGAAAGGGGUGCUAAUACCGGAUAAUGUCUUCGGACCAAAGAUUUAUCGCCUUUGGAUGGGCCCGCGUUGGAUUAGCUAGUUGGUAGGGUAAAAGCCUACCAAGGCGACGAUCCAUAGCUGGGCUGAGAGGAUGAUCAGCCACACUGGGACUGAGACACGGCCCAGACUCCUACGGGAGGCAGCAGUGGGGAAUAUUGGACAAUGGGCGAAAGCCUGAUCCAGCAAUGCCGCGUGAGUGAUGAAGGCCUUAGGGUUGUAAAGCUCUUUUACCCGGGAUGAUAAUGACAGUACCGGGAGAAUAAGCUCCGGCUAACUCCGUG